AGUCUCCUCAGGGUCAGGCAUCCUCUCCGACUACUCCCUCAGCUGCAGAUCCCCACCCUCCUCUGAAUCCCAGUGGCCUUCGGCUUCAACAGAAGUUCACUGAAUGUCUGUUAAGGAUCAGACCUGUGUGCUGAGGAUUCAAAAUCAUGUAAGACUGCCUGCGUUCCUCCCGACUUAAACAAAGGCCUCCAGCAGCUUCCCACAUCCCCUGCCAACCCCCGGGGUCCUGGACCUUACUUUUCCCUUCGCUAUCCCGCAGCUCCGUUUCACCUUUUCCCCCACCUUGAUACCCCAUCGCCCCUACAACCGCCUCCCCGAAGGACACCUUGACCAGAGAACACAGCAAACAAGCCCGUAGAUGCCGUAAGUCCUUCGGCACCGUCUCCAGGGCCAUCCUCUCCGACAAAUGAACAGCAAAGAUUUGGGCCACGGCCUCCUCAGCCGCAGGAAGUAAACAGCGAUUUACCCAGAAUGCCUUCCACUUCCGGUUUUCCGCACUUCCUGUUCCGGUAUGGGGAGCCGCGGACUCACGCCUUUCUCUCUCUCUCUCUCUCUCUCUCUCUCUCUCCCCCGGCCCCCCCCCCCGGUCAAGGAGAUGGUUUCUCCCGCCUGGAGGCGGGGCCGGCCGGGAGUCACCUGGGCCGGCGCGCGCACCCGCCACCUGGGCGGGCGCGAGGGCGAGGCCGGGAAGGCAGUUGCGCCUGUGGGUAGGGCCCGUGGGGGAGGGGUGGCGCGGCUGGCGCCUGCGCGGGAGCGCGCCGCGGCUCCGGCCGGAACUCCCGGCGGGGCGGGCCGUUUGAUCUAGGCCGCUGGCAGCCGGCCGCCGGUCCCCUUAGGAGGAUCCCAGAUGUCAGCCGAGAUUCUUUUUUGUCUUCCCGUUUUAAAAGCGCAGGGCCAGAGUCCACUGUCUCCAUCUGGAUUAUCUCUGCAGAGAGGAAAAUCAGGGACGGCCCCUUUCUUUCCUGAGAGCAGUAAAGGGUUUCCAUUCGCCGUCCACGGGAAUGCUGGCUUGUGAGCCCAUGGCGGAUACCAGGCCCAUUAUUUUUGAAAACUCUUUACGUACUUUCCUUGUUCCAGCUGAUAAUUUGUUUCGUGCAGCAUUUAGACACAGGUCCUUUACUUCAGAAUAUCUGUAGGGGAUUGGAGAUUGUGUUUUGUUUUGUUUUGAUUUCACCCUAUAGCAAGCUGGAUGUUUCUUUGCUCUCCUGUUCAAAACUGGGCAACAGACAAUGACCACCCCCUAGGAAACCUGUCCUGGAGAAGCAGAGGGGGAAAUGUGCUUUGUGAGGAUGAGAGCAGAGGCUGCCCCAGGCUCUGUGGAAUUCAUACCAACAUAGCACCAGCUCUUGAUCCUCAACCAUAGUCCCGUGGGGAGGCAGAGCACAGUCAUUUGUGUUUGUCAGAAUUGGAGCUCUGGGAUAGUUUCAGUAGUUUCAGGCCCUACUGUUCUAUCCUCCCAACCAGGCGUCCCAACUGAAACAGAGCUUUUUCAAGGGGGGGGGGGGGGGGGGCGUGUGUUCAGAUGGGUUCUGUGACUGGGGUUAGAAUGUUCCCUGUCACUGGAUACUUUCCAAACAUACUUUCACGCUUAUCUCAUGGGAGCCCUGCAACCACUCUGUGAAGUAGGCCUAUUUUAUGGGUGGAAAAAAGUGAGGCACAGAAUAUUUGCCCAAGGUCACAAAGUCACUGAAGCAUCAUAAGAAUGUGUGAAGUGAAAAGUACAGUAAGUCUGAUAACGACUGGACCACAGUGUGAAUCUUGUCAUGCUUCCCCCUUCCCUUAUCUCACCAAAUCGUUUUUAGGGGCUUACAAAUCAAUUCUUGUUACCUAGUCUACCACUCUGUCCUGUCCUUUCAUAAAUCAGAGCCUAGCCUCUGAUACCAGAAAUAAUUUAUUUCUGUCAAUGGAGAAGAUGAAUCUGUUACCCUGAGUGACAGUCAUGAGAGAACAAAACCACAAGACCAGACCUCAUUUAUGGAUAAAUAUAUUAGCAAAUAAAUACAUUUCUCAACAUA
Molecule: long non-coding RNA, 2015 nt
Filed under: Lynx pardinus (Iberian lynx)
Lineage: Eukaryota; Metazoa; Chordata; Mammalia; Carnivora; Felidae
Source: RNAcentral